Molecule: ribosomal RNA, 465 nt
Filed under: uncultured bacterium
Lineage: Bacteria
Description: bacterial SSU rRNA
Rfam family: Bacterial small subunit ribosomal RNA
Source: RNAcentral
CCUACGGGAGGCUGCAGUGGGGAAUUUUGGACAAUGGGCGAAAGCCUGAUCCAGCCAUGCCGCGUGCAGGAUGAAGGCCUUCGGGUUGUAAACUGCUUUUGUACGGAACGAAAAGACUCCUUCUAAUAAAGGGGGUCCAUGACGGUACCGUAAGAAUAAGCACCGGCUAACUACGUGCCAGCAGCCGCGGUAAUACGUAGGGUGCAAGCGUUAAUCGGAAUUACUGGGCGUAAAGCGUGCGCAGGCGGUUAUAUAAGACAGAUGUGAAAUCCCCGGGCUCAACCUGGGAACUGCAUUUGUGACUGUAUAGCUAGAGUACGGCAGAGGGGGAUGGAAUUCCGCGUGUAGCAGUGAAAUGCGUAGAUAUGCGGAGGAACACCGAUGGCGAAGGCAAUCCCCUGGGCCUGUACUGACGCUCAUGCACGAAAGCGUGGGGAGCAAACAGGAUUAGAUACCCUGGUAGUC